Molecule: long non-coding RNA, 368 nt
Organism: Rosa rugosa (rugosa rose)
Lineage: Eukaryota; Viridiplantae; Streptophyta; Magnoliopsida; Rosales; Rosaceae
Exons: 2
Source: RefSeq, a predicted model, not a curated record
CCCAUCAAUGACCAAGUCUUUGCAUGACGUAAAUUCGGUUGGAUAGAAAUGUCAACUAGAACAAAAGAAGGCAGUUUUGGAAGUGGUUUGGGGGAAACAAAAGGUUCAUCUUGACUGCAAAACAUUGCCAUCUAAUGAGAAUAUAUUGUCAAGCUUCUAUACAAAAAGAUAAAGUUUAUAACAGAUGGACUUCAAGUCAUUGAUUCCCGCCACAAAAAUUUUUGUGCACAGAUGAGGAAAGACGAUGACUAAAUUCGAAAUGACUGGGUAGAAAGUUACAAGUUCAUUUGGUUGCAAAUGCAUAUGAGAUUAACAGGUAUAAGCAUAAAAAGCCAAAUUCAUCAAAUGGUACAACAAAGAUCAGGCAA